CGGAGGUCCAAGCGUUAUCCGGAAUCAUUGGGUUUAAAGGGUCCGUAGGCGGUCUUAUAAGUCAGUGGUGAAAGCCCAUCGCUCAACGAUGGAACUGCCAUUGAUACUGUAAGACUUGAAUUUUGUGAAGUAACUAGAAUAUGUAGUGUAGCGGUGAAAUGCUUAGAUAUUACAUGGAAUACCAAUUGCGAAGGCAGGUUACUAACAAACGAUUGACGCUGAUGGACGAAAGCGUGGGUAGCGAACAGGAUU
Molecule: ribosomal RNA, 252 nt
Filed under: uncultured bacterium
Lineage: Bacteria
Description: partial 16S ribosomal RNA
Rfam family: Bacterial small subunit ribosomal RNA
Source: RNAcentral